UACGUAGGGUGCGAGCGUUGUCCGGAAUUAUUGGGCGUAAAGAGCUCGUAGGCGGUGUGUCACGUCGGCCGUGAAAACCUGCAGCUUAACUGUGGGCGUGCGGUCGAUACGGGCAUCACUGGAGUUCGGCAGGGGAGACUGGAAUUCCUGGUGUAGCGGUGAAAUGCGCAGAUAUCAAGAGGAACACCUGAGGUGAAGACGGGUUGCUGGGCCAACACUGACGCUGAUGCGCGAAAGCCAGGGGAGCAAACGGG
RNAcentral lists this ribosomal RNA (254 nucleotides) under uncultured bacterium. Its description in RNAcentral is "partial 16S ribosomal RNA". It matches the Rfam family "Bacterial small subunit ribosomal RNA", at positions 524 to 776 of the family's 1533-position model. The record is from RNAcentral.